RNAcentral lists this ribosomal RNA (515 nucleotides) under uncultured bacterium. RNAcentral describes it as "bacterial SSU rRNA". It matches the Rfam family "Bacterial small subunit ribosomal RNA", at positions 9 to 526 of the family's 1533-position model. The record is from RNAcentral.
GAGUUUGAUCCUGGCUCAGGAUGAACGCCGGCGGCGUGCCUAACACAUGCAAGUCGAACGAAGCACCUUUUAAGAUUCUUCGGAUGAUUGAUUGGUGACUGAGUGGCGGACGGGUGAGUAACGCGUGGGUAACCUGCCCUGUACAGGGGGAUAACAGUUGGAAACGGCUGCUAAUACCGCAUAAGCGCACGAGAGGGCAUCCCCUUGUGUGAAAAACUCCGGUGGUACAGGAUGGGCCCGCGUCUGAUUAGCUGGUUGGCAGGGUAACGGCCUACCAAGGCGACGAUCAGUAGCCGGUCUGAGAGGAUGAACGGCCACAUUGGAACUGAGACACGGCCCAAACUCCUACGGGAGGCAGCAGUGGGGAAUAUUGCACAAUGGGGGAAACCCUGAUGCAGCAACGCCGCGUGAGUGAAGAAGUAUUUCGGUAUGUAAAGCUCUAUCAGCAGGGAAGAUAAUGACGGUACCUGACUAAGAAGCACCGGCUAAAUACGUGCCAGCCGCCGCGGUAAUUC